RNAcentral lists this ribosomal RNA (645 nucleotides) under uncultured bacterium. RNAcentral describes it as "bacterial SSU rRNA". It matches the Rfam family "Bacterial small subunit ribosomal RNA", at positions 201 to 842 of the family's 1533-position model. The record is from RNAcentral.
CAAAGGGAGCGAUUCCGGCAACGGAUGGGCAUGCGUGACAUUAGCUAGUUGGCGGGGCAACGGCCCACCAAGGCGACGAUGCCUAGGGGUUCUGAGAGGAAGGUCCCCCACACUGGUACUGAGACACGGACCAGACUCCUACGGGAGGCAGCAGUGAGGAAUAUUGGUCAAUGGGCGCGAGCCUGAACCAGCCAAGUCGCGUGAGGGAUGACGGCCCUACGGGUUGUAAACCUCUUUUGUCGGGGAGCAAAUUCCGUUACGUGUAACGGAGUCGAGAGUACCCGAAGAAAAAGCAUCGGCUAACUCCGUGCCAGCAGCCGCGGUAAUACGGAGGAUGCGAGCGUUAUCCGGAUUUAUUGGGUUUAAAGGGUGCGUAGGCGGACUGUCAAGUCAGCGGUAAAAUACGGGGGCUCAACCUCCGCCCGCCGUUGAAACUGACGGUCUUGAGUGGGCGAGAAGUAUGCGGAAUGCGUGGUGUAGCGGUGAAAUGCAUAGAUAUCACGCAGAACUCCGAUUGCGAAGGCAGCAUACCGGCGCCCAACUGACGCUGAAGCACGAAAGCGUGGGUAUCGAACAGGAUUAGAUACCCUGGUAGUCCACGCAGUAAACGAUGAAUACUAGCUGUCCGGGGCGAAUGAGCCCUGG